This 295-nucleotide unclassified non-coding RNA is filed under the name rhizosphere metagenome. RNAcentral describes it as "partial ribosomal RNA internal transcribed spacer region". The record is from RNAcentral.
GUAGGUGAACCUGCGGAAGGAUCAUUAGCACGUAUCCACGUUUCUCACCCGCGAAUUACUUAGGAUGGCUUAAAAAAAGUCGAGCAAUCGAUUUUCUUUUCGCCUCCUAUGUCUUACUUUCCUGUUUCAUUUCGGUGAUUCAGGAUUGUAGUACUUUAGAACUUUGAGUUCCUUUCGGGGAACACAAAGGAUUAAAGUUACUUCAAACCCCUUUUUUCACAAUAAAAGCCGUCUCUUUGUAGACCGCUUUUAACCGAAUGCUGUACAACUCUUAGCAACGGAUAUCUUGGUUCUG